AACGAACGCUGGCGGCAUGCCUAACACAUGCAAGUCGAACGAGACCUUCGGGUCUAGUGGCGCACGGGUGCGUAACGCGUGGGAACCUGCCCUUAGGUUCGGAAUAACUCCCCGAAAGGGGUGCUAAUACCGGAUAAUGUCUUCGGACCAAAGAUUUAUCGCCUUUGGAUGGGCCCGCGUUGGAUUAGCUAGUUGGUAGGGUAAAAGCCUACCAAGGCGACGAUCCAUAGCUGGUCUGAGAGGAUGAUCAGCCACACUGGGACUGAGACACGGCCCAGACUCCUACGGGAGGAAGCAGUGGGGAAUAUAGGAAAAUGGGCGAAAGCAUGAUCCAGCAAUGCCGGGUGAGUGAUGAAGGCCUUAGGGAAGUAAAGCUCUUUUAACCGGGAUGAUAAUGACAGUACCGGGAGAAUAAGCUCCGGCUAACUACGUG
Molecule: ribosomal RNA, 433 nt
Filed under: uncultured bacterium
Lineage: Bacteria
Description: partial 16S ribosomal RNA
Rfam family: Bacterial small subunit ribosomal RNA
Source: RNAcentral